GACGAGGUGCACGAGCGGUUAAGGUGAUAAACUGCUAAUCCAUUGUGCAUUGCACGCGUGGGUUCGAAUCCCAUCCUCGUCG
This 82-nucleotide transfer RNA is filed under the name Daphnia galeata. It matches the Rfam family "tRNA". From Rfam's summary of the family: Transfer RNA (tRNA) molecules are approximately 80 nucleotides in length. Their secondary structure includes four short double-helical elements and three loops (D, anti-codon, and T loops). Lineage: Eukaryota; Metazoa; Arthropoda; Branchiopoda; Diplostraca; Daphniidae. The record is from Rfam by way of RNAcentral.